AACGCACCUUGCGCUCCUUGGUAUUCCUCGGAGCAUGCCUGUUUGAGUAUCAUGAAAUUAUCAAAAUAAAUCUUUUGUUCACUCGAUCGAUUUAAUUUUGGACUUGGGGGUCUGCAGAUUCACGUCUGCUCCCCUUGAAUGCAUUAGCUGGAUCACUGUAGACUCGGUUCCACUCGGCGUGAUAAGUAUCACUCGCUGAGGACACUUUUGUAAAAGAAGUGGCCGGGACUAUCAGAGAACCGCUUCCAAUAGUCCAUUUGCUUGGACAAUUACAUUUAUGAUCUGAUCUCAAAUCAGGUAGGACUACCCGCUGAACUUAA
This 320-nucleotide unclassified non-coding RNA is filed under the name Entophlyctis sp. Its description in RNAcentral is "partial contains 5.8S ribosomal RNA, internal transcribed spacer 2, and large subunit ribosomal RNA". The record is from RNAcentral. Lineage: Eukaryota; Fungi; Chytridiomycota; Chytridiomycetes; Chytridiales; Chytriomycetaceae.